This 90-nucleotide non-coding RNA is filed under the name uncultured Psychrobacillus sp. RNAcentral's name for it is "Glycine riboswitch". It matches the Rfam family "Glycine riboswitch aptamer", at positions 9 to 86 of the family's 94-position model. From Rfam's summary of the family: This family represents the bacterial glycine riboswitch. Glycine riboswitches usually consist of two metabolite-binding aptamers domains with similar structures in tandem. The aptamers cooperatively bind glycine to regulate the expression of downstream genes. Lineage: Bacteria; Bacillati; Bacillota; Bacilli; Caryophanales; Bacillaceae. The record is from RNAcentral.
ACGCAACUCUGGAGAGUGCUUUCGUUAUGAACGGAAAGCCACCAAAGGGGAAAGCCAUUUAUGGUAAACUUUCAGGUGCCAGGACAGAGA